Halobacterium hubeiense is the source of this 85-nucleotide transfer RNA. It matches the Rfam family "tRNA". From Rfam's summary of the family: Transfer RNA (tRNA) molecules are approximately 80 nucleotides in length. Their secondary structure includes four short double-helical elements and three loops (D, anti-codon, and T loops). NCBI's taxonomy places the organism in Archaea, Methanobacteriati, Methanobacteriota, Halobacteria, Halobacteriales, Halobacteriaceae. The record is from Rfam.
GCAGGGAUAGCCAAGUUAGGUCAAAGGCGCAGCGUUCAGGGCGCUGUCCUGUAGGGGUUCGCAGGUUCAAAUCCUGCUCCCUGCA